UGGGCUAUAGUUCAGUGGUAGGGUGCUUGUCUGGCAUACAUGAGGACCUGGGUUUGAUCCCUAGCACUGCAG
RNAcentral lists this transfer RNA (72 nucleotides) under Heterocephalus glaber (naked mole-rat). It matches the Rfam family "tRNA". Rfam says of the family: Transfer RNA (tRNA) molecules are approximately 80 nucleotides in length. Lineage: Eukaryota; Metazoa; Chordata; Mammalia; Rodentia; Bathyergidae. The record is from Rfam by way of RNAcentral.